This is a ribosomal RNA of Cercocebus atys (sooty mangabey), 99 nucleotides long. Lineage: Eukaryota; Metazoa; Chordata; Mammalia; Primates; Cercopithecidae. The record is from Ensembl.
GCCUAUGGCCAUACUACCCUGAGACCAGAACCUAAGCAGGUUCAGGCCUGGCCUGUACUUGUAUGGGAGACAGCCUGGAAACACCGGAUGCUGUUGGCG